GGGCCCGUGCACCCCCGGAGGCGGCAGCGGCGAUAAACCUGCCAGUAAUUUCAGCAAAUGAAACGUGGAACACGUCAAGGCCAGAGGAUGGAAAAGGCUCCAGUUUUGAUAAAAGGAGGCCUGCUUGGCUUGGAAUCCUCUCUCCUGCUGGUUGGGAGAUGCAAAGAUGUUUCCAGAGAGGGGCUGAUGAAUUGAGGGGAAAGAAAUGAGCCCAGUAUGAGUCCCCUUUCAGGGCUGAGCGUGUAUAAAACCAAACAACUUGGAACCGCUCCAAGAGAGGGGAUUAAAGCAACAUGUUAUUCUGAGUGAUUGCUUAAUUUAUUGAGCUGCGGCUGGAUCUGUAAUGAAAUACAGCCCUUGUAACUGAUAACCUCCUGCUGCCAUUGAACUUCUACAAUUAAGGAAUAUUUUCUGAGUUUCUCUGGAACGGCUCUGAAUUUUUAGCCUCUGUGGUAGGGUGCUUCUGAACAUUUGUUUUCCAGGCAAUUUUUUUUGAGUAUUAGGCUGAUGUUAAUAAAUAAGCAGCAUUUUAUUGAG
RNAcentral lists this long non-coding RNA (537 nucleotides) under Homo sapiens (human). RNAcentral describes it as "non-protein coding MIR193BHG:36". Lineage: Eukaryota; Metazoa; Chordata; Mammalia; Primates; Hominidae. The record is from RNAcentral.